GUGGUUGCCUUGGCAGUGCAUAUAGUACUAAAAUUAGAAUAUACAGAAAAGAUUACCAUAGCCCCUGUGCAAAUUUCUGAAGUGUUCCAUAUUUUU
Cavia aperea (Brazilian guinea pig) is the source of this 96-nucleotide small nuclear RNA. NCBI's taxonomy places the organism in Eukaryota, Metazoa, Chordata, Mammalia, Rodentia, Caviidae. The record is from Ensembl.